UGGGGAAUAUUGCACAAUGGGCGCAAGCCUGAUGCAGCCAUGCCGCGUGUGUGAAGAAGGCCUUCGGGUUGUAAAGCACUUUCAGCGGGGAGGAAGGCGAUAAGGUUAAUAACCUUGUCGAUUGACGUUACCCGCAGAAGAAGCACCGGCUAACUCCGUGCCAGCAGCCGCGGUAAUACGGAGGGUGCAAGCGUUAAUCGGAAUUACUGGGCGUAAAGCGCACGCAGGCGGUUUGUUAAGUCAGAUGUGAAAUCCCCGGGCUCAACCUGGGAACUGCCUCUGAUACUGGCAAGCUUGAGUCUCGUGGAGGGGGGUAGAAUUCCAGGUGUAGCGGUGAAAUGCGUAGAGAUCUGGAGGAAUACCGGUGGCGAAGGCGGCCCCCUGGGCGAAGACUGACGCUCAGGUGCGAAAGCGUGGGGAGCAAACAGG
RNAcentral lists this ribosomal RNA (429 nucleotides) under Chloroflexota bacterium. RNAcentral describes it as "Chloroflexi bacterium partial 16S ribosomal RNA". It matches the Rfam family "Bacterial small subunit ribosomal RNA", at positions 355 to 776 of the family's 1533-position model. The record is from RNAcentral. Lineage: Bacteria; Bacillati; Chloroflexota.